AAUUUGCUUGCAGGGCAACCCCACCUGCUCAUUUAUUAUCAAAAUUCCACAAUUUCAUUUAAUACCUAAUCAGAUAAGGAAAAUCUACAAUUACCCAGAAAUCAAAACUACAAAAUUUCAUUUGGGUUGUGAUCGAAUUUCAGAAAACGGAAGCAAUCCAAUUGCUCAACAAUCUGAUAGCGAGUGAAACUGAAACUUACUUGGGCCAUGAGCGGACUCCG
Molecule: unclassified non-coding RNA, 221 nt
Filed under: Hevea brasiliensis (rubber tree)
Lineage: Eukaryota; Viridiplantae; Streptophyta; Magnoliopsida; Malpighiales; Euphorbiaceae
Source: RNAcentral